RNAcentral lists this ribosomal RNA (431 nucleotides) under uncultured bacterium. Its description in RNAcentral is "partial 16S ribosomal RNA". It matches the Rfam family "Bacterial small subunit ribosomal RNA", at positions 29 to 507 of the family's 1533-position model. The record is from RNAcentral.
AACGAACGCUGGCGGCAGGCUUAACACAUGCAAGUCGAACGCCCCGCAAGGGGAGUGGCAGCCGGGUGCGUAACGCGUGGGAACAUACCCUUUUCUACGGAAUAGCUCUGGGAAACUGGAAUUAAUACCGUAUACGCCCUACGGGGGAAAGAUUUAUCGGGGAAGGAUUGGCCCGCGUUGGAUUAGCUAGUUGGUGGGGUAAAGGCCUACCAAGGCGACGAUCCAUAGCUGGUCUGAGAGGAUGAUCAGCCACAUUGGGACUGAGACACGGCCCAAACUCCUACGGGAGGCAGCAGUGGGGAAUAUUGGACAAUGGGCGCAAGCCUGAUCCAGCCAUGCCGCGUGAGUGAUGAAGGCCUUAGGGUUGUAAAGCUCUUUCACCGAUGAAGAUAAUGACGGUAGUCGGAGAAGAAGCCCCGGCUAACUUCGUG